RNAcentral lists this ribosomal RNA (494 nucleotides) under Micrococcus luteus. RNAcentral's name for it is "bacterial SSU rRNA". It matches the Rfam family "Bacterial small subunit ribosomal RNA", at positions 251 to 757 of the family's 1533-position model. Lineage: Bacteria; Bacillati; Actinomycetota; Actinomycetes; Micrococcales; Micrococcaceae. The record is from RNAcentral.
GGGAGGGGAAGGGGCUUCCCAAGGCAAACAACGGAUCCCAACCCUGAGGGGGGACGGCCACCUGGAACUGACACACGGCCCACACUCCUACGGGAGGCAGCAGUGGGGAAUCUUGCACAGUGGGCGAAAGCCUGAUAGAACCACGCCGCGUGAGAGAUGAGGGGUUUCAGCUUGUAAAUCUCUUUUAAUAGGGAAGAACAUAUGUGGACGGCACUGCGCGAAUAGACACCGCCUAAUUACAUAGCCACAGGGAACUAUAUGAGGCACGGUGCGAGAGAUAUCCGGAAUUAUUGGGCGUAAAGAGCUCGUAGGCGGUUUGUCCCGUCUGUCGUGAAAGUCCGGGGCUUAACCCCGGAUCUGCGGUGGGUACGGGCAGACUAGAGUGCUGUAGGGGAUACUUGAAUUCCUGGUGUAACGGCGGAAUGCUCAUAUCUCUCGAGGAACCCCUUUGGCCAACGCUUCUCUCUGGGCCGUUACCUACGCUUAUUAGUAUA